This is a non-coding RNA of Arvicanthis niloticus (Nile rat), 1065 nucleotides long. The record is from RefSeq and is a predicted model, not a curated record. Lineage: Eukaryota; Metazoa; Chordata; Mammalia; Rodentia; Muridae.
AAACCUCUCAGCGCCUCAGUGCCCGGAGGUGGCUUCGCAGCCGAGAGAACUGACGCCCCCAGGCCGGCUGCCUGCUCCCCCACCGCCCGGCCCCACCCCCAAUCCUUCCGGCGCCCCAGCGCCCACCCACCCGGGCGCGGGAGUGGGAGGGUGCCGCGUGGGCAGCCGGAGCAACAGGCGUGGGAGCAGCGCUCCUCGCACUUGCUGGCUCCGGAAGGCUCGGUCGCUUCCCUCUUACCUUCGCCGAAGCCAACCCCAGGCCCCGCUCCCCGCGCGCGCGAGGAAGCUGCGGCCGGGGGCCGCCAAGGCGCAGAGCGCCCAGCAGCGCGGGGAAGCGCCCAGCAGCCGCCGCUCGGGCGGCUCCUCCUCGCCGGCGAAGUCUCGCUCGUCCCUCCUUCACUCGUGAGGUGCAGCCGGUCGCCGCGCAAGCUUCCAGGCUGACCCUGAACUGUCUGUCAAUUGCGUGUGCCAAAGCUGGGAAGAUCCCAAAGAAGACAAAUUGCCUUUACCUCCACGUAAAAGCCACUGACCUACAGCAGUGAGAGGGCAUGACCAGAAGUGGGCCCAGGCCCUGGAUCCUUUCCAGAAGCCCAAAGUUCCCUAUUGCUUAGUACUUGGACCCAGCGGGCGUGUAGUGUCCAGCCGAGAGUCCCAUGACCACAACAUCAGCAGGAGUAGAGCGCUUUGCUGGCUGCUAAGCCAAACCGUGGCCGGCUUUCCCCGUGUCUUCGGCCCCGGUGCUGGGAAUCCCGGGCCUGGAGAUCGCGAAGCAGGCAGCUUCGUGCCUCUGCCGGGACCGGAACGCUUUGGCUUGAGAGAUGGCAGCUCUGAGUAUGGAGAGGCAGAGGAACUGAUGAAUUUGCUAUCAGAAUCCAUUUCUCUCCGUUCAAAAGAAUAUUAACAUAUGAGGAGGGACAUGGGAGACCAUGAGCCAAAAGAGAAGCUAAAAAGCAUCACAACAUGGGCUUUCUGGGGGAUCCAUUGCGACUUAUAAAUCCUGAGGUAGAUUCAGUGUCUUAGUUACUUUUUUAUUGCUGUGAUAAAACAUCAUAAUCAAGGAAAUUU